GUAGGUGGCAAGCGUUGUCCGGGAAUUAUUGGGGCGUAAAGCGCGCGCAGGCGGUUCUUUAAGUCUGAUGUGAAAGCCCACGGGCUCAACCGUGGAGGGUCAUUGGAAACUGGAGAACUUGAGUACAGAAGAGGAAAGCGGAAUUCCACGUGUAGCGGUGAAAUGCGUAGAGAUGUGGAGGAACACCAGUGGCGAAGGCGGCUUUCUGGUCUGUAACUGACGCUGAGGCGCGAAAGCGUGGGGAGCAAACAGGAUUAGAUACCCUGGUAGUCCACGCCGUAAACGAUGAGUGCUGAGUGUUAGGGGGUUUCCGCCCCUUAGUGCUGCAGCUAACGCAUUAAGCACUCCGCCUGGGGAGUACGGCCGCAAAGGCUGA
This 376-nucleotide ribosomal RNA is filed under the name uncultured organism. RNAcentral's name for it is "partial 16S ribosomal RNA". It matches the Rfam family "Bacterial small subunit ribosomal RNA", at positions 527 to 897 of the family's 1533-position model. The record is from RNAcentral.